GAUGAAGAACGCAGCGAAAUGCGAUAAGUAAUGUGUAUUGCUGAAUUCAGUGAAUCAUCGAAUUUUUGAACGCAUAUUGCACCUUAGAGUAUUCUUUAAGGUAUACCUGUUCGAGCGUCGUUUAAAACAAUAAAGCUUUGCUUUUUGAUGGAUUUUGAUAGUGAGAUAUUGGGGACAUUCGUGUUUCUCUCUUCUCAAGUUCAACUUCUUAAACAUAGUGGCGUUUUGCUUAAAGCUUGUUGUCAGUGUACAGUGAAAAUGUAUAUAAUGACGAAGCACGAAGUAAUAGACGCAACAGUAAAAACCACAAUUAUUAGUUUCGACCUCGAAUCAAGUAAGACUACCCGCUGAACUUAAGCAUAUCAAUAAGCGGAGGA
RNAcentral lists this unclassified non-coding RNA (377 nucleotides) under soil metagenome. RNAcentral's name for it is "partial contains 5.8S ribosomal RNA, internal transcribed spacer 2, and large subunit ribosomal RNA". The stretch from base 1 to 120 matches the Rfam family "5.8S ribosomal RNA", at positions 35 to 154 of the family's 154-position model. The record is from RNAcentral.